Pipistrellus kuhlii (Kuhl's pipistrelle) is the source of this 785-nucleotide long non-coding RNA. RefSeq lists it as uncharacterized. The record is from RefSeq and is a predicted model, not a curated record. Lineage: Eukaryota; Metazoa; Chordata; Mammalia; Chiroptera; Vespertilionidae. The transcript is spliced from 2 exons.
GACAAGCACCGCUACUUCCCUCUUUGCUGCACGUACGCCUCUGCGCAUGCCCAGAGCUCGGGUCCGCCAGUCCGCGGAACACGGUUUUGUUACCAAAAAACUACAUUUCCCAGAAGUCGGCGCGAGCAGGCGGGGCUUCACCGCCGGAGAGGAGGGGAGCGGCGCUCGAGUGGACUCUGAGUUUGUGACCUCUUUCUUUUAUUUAAACACAAAAAUGGUGUAUCCGCACGCAGGAUCGCGCGGCCGGGGCAGACCUGGUGCGGAUGGACCAGCGCGGCCCGGCCCCUUAAAAGGUUCAGGAGCCCGGUGUGUCCCACGCUGUGGGCCCGGCCGCGCUCGGGGGCCGGGCCGGGCCUGCCUGGCCGGUGAGGAUUUGCACCAGCAGGUCGGUGGCUAGCAUGUGAGAUGGCUCCUCGAAGCCGAUGGUCAGCAGCUGCUGGUAAUCUCCGGACGGCUGCGGGCACAAAAUCCUGGGGGCCCAGGACAGACAGGGCUGGACGUGAGCGCCCUCUGCUUUUCGAGAGCCUCUCCCCUUGGGUGAGAGGCUGGGACUGAAAGAGGCUUUGUCUCAGCUGGUGGGGGAAGUGGUUUCCUUGUGGAUGAGAAACCUAGAGGGCACUAGUUCUGGGAGACUGAACUAUGCAUCCCCCAUUUGACCAAUCAUCUAGCUGCUGUGUGCCCUUGGGCAGGUAACCCCUCUGGGCACCUGUUUCCUUCUUUGUAAAAAUGGGCUGUAGUAGUAUCGACCUAAAUGGGUUUCACAUAAAGCAGUUUUCAGAACAUAA